This 67-nucleotide transfer RNA is filed under the name marine eukaryotic metagenome. It matches the Rfam family "tRNA". From Rfam's summary of the family: Transfer RNA (tRNA) molecules are approximately 80 nucleotides in length. Their secondary structure includes four short double-helical elements and three loops (D, anti-codon, and T loops). The record is from RNAcentral.
CGUCGUAGCCAAGUGGUUAAGGCGGCGGUCUGCAAAAUCGCUAUCGUGGGUUCGACUCCCACCGACG